AGCAGCCGCGGUAAUUCCAGCUCCAAUAGCGUAUAUUAAAGUUGUUGCAGUUAAAAAGCUCGUAGUUGAAUUUCGGGGUUAGUAGAUUGGUCAUGCCUCUGGUAUGCACUGGUCUUACUGAUUCCUCCUUCCUGAUGAACCGUAAUGCCAUUAAUUUGGUGUUGCGGGGAAACUGGACUGUUACUUUGAAAAAAUUGAGUGUUUAAAGCAGGCUAACGCUUGAAUACAUUAGCAUGGAAUAAUGAAAUAGGACGUUCGAUCUUAUUUUGUUGGUUUCUAGGAUUGACGUAAUGAUUAAUAGGGAUAGUUGGGGGCAUUAGUAUUCAAUUGUCAGAGGUGAAAUUCUUGGAUUUAUUGAAGACUAACUACUGCGAAAGCAUUUGCCAAGGAUGUUUUCAUUAACCAAGAACGAGAGUUAGGGAUCGAAGACGAUCAGAUACCGUCGUAGUCUUAACCAUAAACUAUAGCCGACUAGGGAUCGGAUGAUGUUAAUUUUUAAUGUACUCAUUCGGCGCCUUAA
This 520-nucleotide ribosomal RNA is filed under the name uncultured Glomus. RNAcentral describes it as "SSU rRNA". It matches the Rfam family "Eukaryotic small subunit ribosomal RNA", at positions 569 to 1091 of the family's 1831-position model. Lineage: Eukaryota; Fungi; Glomeromycota; Glomeromycetes; Glomerales; Glomeraceae. The record is from RNAcentral.